CAGCCUAUUCCUGAGUUUGGGCCAGUGGGGUGUAGCGGCUAGCAGUGUGCAAUGCUGUCUACCACAGUGGCUUGUUUGGUGUUACCACUAAGGGAUGCCAGAGUUUGAAAAUUUCAAAUUCAAUGUGGGGCUUUGACUGGUAAAUUGGUUUUAAUUCACUAUGGUAAUGUCCAGAGAUUAUUUACUUCCAAGAUUUUUUUCCCAAUAAGGAUGACUUGACGCCUCCCAUUCUGACACUGGGAACUGUUCUGUUGUAGAGGAUUUCCAUUGACCUUCACUGACAUCAUUCUACUCAAAGGAACUGUCAGAUGAACUGAUGCUGAGCAGGGGAACCCCACAGUUAAAAAAAAAGAGCUUGACUGACUGGCAAACAUGACAGAUGUUUAAAUUUGACCAAUAUUUUUUUCCCAUCACUGCUAGUCAUUCAGGCUCCUCAUUGUUCUAAUUACAAACUGCAGUUCACUGAAUGUAACUGAAGGAAAUGGGAUAUAUUUGAAAUAGGACCCAAAUUGCUUUCUGUGGCAUAACACCAUCAGCAGUUUGUUUUGUCUAAACUGCUAUUUGUCUGUCUCACAUAUUGAUUUAACACAACGUGACCGGACACUCUAGAGGCUCACAUCUGGCAAACACUGGGAAAAUUCAAUCACAACAUGUUUAGUGGACUGAGGUAUUAGUAUGUCAUACCCAGCAUGAAUAAGUAACUUUUUGUUUUGGCAGGGAGGACCAUGUGGACGAGGGGUUAAUGACUUACAGUUGCUCUUACUGUACAAUGAAGGUUUUAUUCAGAUUUUUCUGAUAUAGUUUGACUUGUAUGCUGAAAUAUGAUAUAUCAAAAACAUUUUUACAUGUUACAUAUGGACAAAUUCUAAUUCUGUAAAAUAUUUUAAUGUUGUUCAUAC
Long non-coding RNA from Xiphias gladius (swordfish), 899 nucleotides. RefSeq lists it as uncharacterized. The transcript has 3 exons. The record is from RefSeq and is a predicted model, not a curated record. Lineage: Eukaryota; Metazoa; Chordata; Actinopteri; Istiophoriformes; Xiphiidae.